This 253-nucleotide ribosomal RNA is filed under the name uncultured bacterium. RNAcentral describes it as "partial 16S ribosomal RNA". It matches the Rfam family "Bacterial small subunit ribosomal RNA", at positions 524 to 776 of the family's 1533-position model. The record is from RNAcentral.
UACGUAGGGUGCGAGCGUUGUCCGGAAUCACUGGGCUUAAAGCGUGUGUAGGCGGAUGGGUAAGUACCUUGUGAAAUCCCACGGCUCAACCGUGGAACUGCUCGGUAUACUGCUCGUCUUGAGCCAACUAGGGGCGACCGGAACAAACGGUGGAGCGGUGAAAUGCGUAGAUAUCGUUUGGAACGCCGAUGGUGAAAACAGGUCGCUGGGGUUGUGCUGACGCUGAGACACGAAAGCCAGGGGAGCGAACGGG